AUUGAACGCUGGCGGCAGGCCUAACACAUGCAAGUCGAGCGAGCGGCGGACGGGUGAGUAAUGUCUGGGGACUGCCCGAUGGAGGGGGAUAACUACUGGAAACGGUGGCUAAUACCGCAUACUAUCGGAUAACCCAUAUGGGAUUAGCUAGUAGGUAAGGUAAUGGCUUACCUAGGCGACGAUCCCUAGCUGGUCUGAGAGGAUGAUCAGCCACACUGGAACUGAGACACGGUCCAGACUCCUACGGAGGCAGCAGUGGGGAAUAUUGCACAAUGGGCGCAAGCCUGAUGCAGCCAUGCCGCGUGUGUGAAGAAGGCCCUCGGGUUGUAAAGUACUUUCAGUCGGGAGGCGUUACCGACAGAAGAAGCACCGGCUAACUCCGUGCCAGCAGCCGCGGUAAUAC
Molecule: ribosomal RNA, 403 nt
Filed under: uncultured bacterium
Lineage: Bacteria
Description: partial 16S ribosomal RNA
Rfam family: Bacterial small subunit ribosomal RNA
Source: RNAcentral